This is a small nuclear RNA of Mustela putorius furo (domestic ferret), 101 nucleotides long. The record is from Ensembl. Lineage: Eukaryota; Metazoa; Chordata; Mammalia; Carnivora; Mustelidae.
GUGCUCACUUCAGCAGCACAUGUUCUAAAAACUGGAACAAUACAUAGGAUUGGCCCCUACACAAGGAUGACAUGCAAAUACAUGAAGCAUUCCAAAAAACA